Drosophila obscura is the source of this 1049-nucleotide long non-coding RNA. RefSeq lists it as uncharacterized. The transcript has 3 exons. The record is from RefSeq and is a predicted model, not a curated record. NCBI's taxonomy places the organism in Eukaryota, Metazoa, Arthropoda, Insecta, Diptera, Drosophilidae.
AUCGAUGUUUUUGCUAUUUAUUUUGAGUUCGCUACAAGAGAUCCAGAAGCUCCGUAAAAUAAGUCGUCAAAUUCAUUCGUUAUAAUAUUUAUUUGAUUAUAUAUGUUGCUUAAAUUAAGGUGCAUUAAUUUGGCGUCGUUCAAGGUAUCGCUCAUUAAAAUCUAUGGAGAGACUUUGGAGCUAAAAUUCGUUAACUUAACCUAAAAUUGCUGGUAUGUUUCAACCCAGGCGUCCGUGCUGGUGAUUGUCAGACACAUUACUUUGCCAAUAAAAUAUUGGGGAGCCCAUGAUAUGCCUGGUGAAAAGCGAAGUGCAUUUAUGUGCAUUUUAUGAACUUUAAACAAAACCAAGCAGCUGUCUGAGCAGUGUUACCGUUCGGAAUACAUUGCACACCUCUGGUCACACCACUGGCCGGUAGAAGAAUAUGACAUUUGUUUGCUAGCAAACAGUUUUUGGAUCUGAGUACUAGACUUAAAGCCUAGAUAGCCUUAGAUCGGAUACCGUUUGAUUCUGGAAUCUAGAUUCCUGUCUUUGGGACGACCGCCUCACAUAAUUCAAGGCCUUGUUGACACAAGAUUUUUGGUCUCGUAAUAUGUCCAGUUUCAGAAAGAGCGUCCGCAGUGUCCUCAGAUUCUUAUUGAAAUGCUUCACCGGGAUUUGAAGAAGCGCUACAAGGGGAUUGUGAUAAAUUGUCUCAAUAAUGAGACUUUUCCCUUACGCUAGGGGCUUGCCUAUAGCGCCUAUGGCGCAUACAAAAUUUAGUCGAGAGUAUGUAGAGUCUUCACCGUAUCUGAAAGCUAAAUGUAUAUGAAUUUAGCUCCAUUCGUGUCCACACAUUGACAAAUCCGACACAUAACUUAUCCAUACCAAUCCUAAAUAAUGAAUUAAAUAAAACAACUAUUACAGAGUUUACAAAAGCCAUAAUGGCGUUGGAGGUGUUUCUUUAUUAUGAUUAACUGUCUUUCGAACAUGUUCUUUUCUUUUAAUUGAAUCAGGCUACAAAUAAAAUACAUGAACUGCAAAAAGCAUACUUUUACUGUUUUGUUGUA